This 1477-nucleotide ribosomal RNA is filed under the name uncultured organism. RNAcentral describes it as "16S ribosomal RNA". It matches the Rfam family "Bacterial small subunit ribosomal RNA". The record is from RNAcentral.
UAAUACAUGCAAGUCGAACGAGUUCUCGUUGAUGAUCGGCGCUUGCACCGAGAUUCAACAUGGAACGAGUGGCGGACGGGUGAGUAACACGUGGGUAACCUGCCCUUAAUUGGGGGAUAACAUUUGGAAACAGAUGCUAAUACCGCAUAGAUCCAAGAACCGCAUGGUUCUUGGCUGAAAGAUGGCGUAAGCUAUCGCUUUUGGAUGGACCCGCGGCGUAUUAGCUAGUUGGUGAGGUAAUGGCUCACCAAGGCGAUGAUACGUAGCCGAACUGAGAGGUUGAUCGGCCACAUUGGGACUGAGACACGGCCCAAACUCCUACGGGAGGCAGCAGUAAGGAAUCUUCCACAAUGGACGCAAGUCUGAUGGAGCAACGCCGCGUGAGUGAAGAAGGCUUUCGGGUCGUAAAACUCUGUUGUUGGAGAAGAAUGGUCGGCAGAGAAACUGUUGUCGGCGUGACGGUAUCCAACCAGAAAGCCACGGCUAACUACGUGCCAUCAGCCGCGGUAAUACGUAGGUGGCAAGCGUUAUCCGGAUUUAUUGGGGCGUAAAGCGAGCGCAGGCGGUUUUUUAAGUCUGAUGUGAAAGCCCUCGGCUUAACCGAGGAAGCGCAUCGGAAACUGGGAAACUUGAUUGCACAAGAGGACAGUGCAACUCCAUGUGUAGCGGUGAAAUGCGUAGAUAUAUGAAAGAACACCAGUGGCGAAGGCGGCUGUCUGGUCUGUAACUGACGCUGAGGCUCGAAAGCAUGGGUAGCGAACAGGAUUAGAUACCCUGGUAGUCCAUGCCGUAAACGAUGAAUGCUAGGUGUUGGAGGGUUUCCGCCUUUCAGUGCCGCAGCUAACGCAUUAAGCAUUCCGCCUGGGGAGUACGACCGCAAGGUUGAAACUCAAAGGAAUUGACGGGGGCCCGCACAAGCGGUGGAGCAUGUGGUUUAAUUCGAAGCAACGCGAAGAACCUUAUCAGGUCUUGACAUCUUUUGAUCACGUGAGAGAUCAGGUUUUCCCUUCGGGGGCAAAAUGACGGGUGGUGCAUGGUUGUCGUCAGCUCGUGUCGUGAGAUGUUGGGUUAAGUCCCGCAACGAGCGCAACCCUUAUGACUAGUUGCCAGCAUUUAGUUGGGCACUCUAGUAAGACUGCCGGUGACAAACCGGAGGAAGGUGGGGAUGACGUCAAAUCAUCAUGCCCCUUAUGACUUGGGCUACACACGUGCUACAAUGGAUGGUACAACGAGUUGCGAGACCGCGAGGUCAAGCUAAUCUCUUAAAGCCAUUUUCAGUUCGGACUGUAGGCUGCAACUCGCCUACACGAAGUCGGAAUCGCUAGUAAUCGCGGAUCAGCACGCCGCGGUGAAUACGUUCCCGGGCCUUGUACGCCCCGCCCGUCACACCGUGAGAGUUUGUAACACCCGAAGCCGGUGGCGUAACCCUUUUAGGGAGCGAGCCGUCUAAGGUGGGACAAAUGAUUAGGGUGAAGUC